Molecule: ribosomal RNA, 253 nt
Filed under: uncultured bacterium
Lineage: Bacteria
Description: partial 16S ribosomal RNA
Rfam family: Bacterial small subunit ribosomal RNA
Source: RNAcentral
UACGGAGGGGACUAGCGUUGUUCGGAAUUACUGGGCGUAAAGCGCACGUAGGCGGUUUGUUAAGUCGGAUGUGAAAUCCCUCGGCUCAACUGAGGAAGUGCAUCCGAAACUGGCAAGCUUGAGUACGAAAGAGGGUCGCGGAAUUCCCGGUGUAGAGGUGAAAUUCGUAGAUAUCGGGAGGAACACCGGUGGCGAAGGCGGCGACCUGGGUCGAUACUGACGCUGAGGUGCGAAAGCGUGGGGAGCAAACAGG